CGCGUAGGCGGCCUGUUAAGUCAGAUGUGAAAGCCCCGGGCUCAACCUGGGAACUGCAUUUGAUACUGGCGAGCUAGAGUCCGAUAGAGGGGGGUGGAAUUCCAGGUGUAGCGGUGAAAUGCGUAGAUAUCUGGAGGAACACCGGUGGCGAAGGCGGCCCCCUGGAUCGAGACUGACGCUGAGGUGCGAAAGCGUGGGGAGCAAACA
RNAcentral lists this ribosomal RNA (207 nucleotides) under uncultured bacterium. Its description in RNAcentral is "partial 16S ribosomal RNA". It matches the Rfam family "Bacterial small subunit ribosomal RNA", at positions 568 to 774 of the family's 1533-position model. The record is from RNAcentral.